AGAAGCUUAGGAUUAAAUUUCAAACCAGUGGCCUUCAACACCACAAACAAGACUAAAGCUCUUAGCUUCUG
RNAcentral lists this transfer RNA (71 nucleotides) under Phrynocephalus strauchi. RNAcentral's name for it is "tRNA-Trp". The record is from RNAcentral. Lineage: Eukaryota; Metazoa; Chordata; Lepidosauria; Squamata; Agamidae.